UCUAGGCUUGGUUGAGCCGCGCAGGAAGGUCCGAGGCUGGGGGAGCAGCCGUUGGCUCUGGUGCCCCUGGGGGUGGGAGCACGAGUGGGCAAGGAUGAUGGUGAGGCAGAGGAGGCGGCCCCGAGGGAGCGCCCGGCUGAGAGGCGGGGGGCCGAGGGGCCCGGGGAGCGGGCGUCACCGAGGGCCCUGGAAGCGGCAGGGCUGGGGGAGAGGAGACGCGUGUGUGGAGCAUGGGGACCCCAGCCCAGCUCCCACUUGCAGACCUGGGCCGCGGGCUGCCGGCCGAGUGGCCGGGGGGCCUGGCUGCCCAGGAGGCGGGCCGGGGCCGCGGCCGGGGGCGCGGAGCGGAGUUAGGGUCGCCAGGCCGAGCCGAGGUGGGACGGACCGACGCAGAGAGGAAGGGAAGCCACCUGGCCUGAAGAUCCUGUCUCUAAGAUCCCAUUCUGAGGCUUCGAGGGUCUGGCUUGAGCAGCACAGACAGGGACGUGUCUAACCGGGAUGACCAUGAGGUCUCAUCGCAGUUUGCCACUAACCAGGUGCCAGAAGCCCAGGAAGCACACAUCAAGGCUCACUUGCCAGCAGGGUGCUGCCAAUAAAAUGUAGUCACGUGGAAUUUGGAAUGUGGAAAGGAGGUAGAAGUCAUCCUUUCCUUCCCCAUAGCAGCAGGCGUGCAGGCUCUGGUGGUCAGCUGGACUCCAUACUCCCCCACCAGUCACCAGCCUGGGGACGGUGGGGCUGCAAGGACCUCAGCAGCGGUUUCCCAAGUUUCCUGCCUUCUUCCAUCCUCUGGAAAUCAGCUGUGUAGCCUGAAAGCCAGUGGUGCAACCCCGUCCCCACAACCUUCACCACCUCUAGCCCCUCCAGUGAUAAGCACUAAUUGCCUAUAUACAACCCCUUUUGUUUGAAAUAUCUAGAGUAAUUUCUGUUUUCCUAUCUGGGGUAGUGUAACAUAAGAAGAAAUAUAUAUUUGGUCUCUGCCCACAGUUCCUAACACAAAGCUCCUAAAACCCUUGGAAAUUCCUGAAUGAUGGGGGUGCUAGGAGCAUUGUCUUCUUUUUGUAAAAAAUGUAUCAUUUUUCUUUUCUCGAGUGGUUUUUUUCUUUUAGGAAACAAACUUUUAUUUUAGGUUAGGGGAUACAUGUGCACGUUCGUAAUAUAGGUACACUUGUGUCAUGGCGGUUUGUUGUACAGAUUAUUUCAUCACCCAGGUACGAAGCCUAGUACCCAGUAGUUUUUUCUGCU
RNAcentral lists this long non-coding RNA (1242 nucleotides) under Homo sapiens (human). Its description in RNAcentral is "HSALNT0390293". The record is from RNAcentral. Lineage: Eukaryota; Metazoa; Chordata; Mammalia; Primates; Hominidae.